ACGAUUGACGGAGCGAAGCGACGUCAAAGCGUUCAUUAAAGUCGAGUUGGCUUAGGGAUACGUUCGUUGGGUAGGGGAGCGUUCUGUAAGCCUGUGAAGGUGUGUCGUGAGGCAUGCUGGAGGUAUCAGAAGUGCGAAUGCUGACAUAAGUAACGAUAAAGCGGGUGAAAAGCCCGCUCGCCGGAAGACCAAGGGUUCCUGUCCAACGUUAAUCGGGGCAGGGUGAGUCGACCCCUAAGGCGAGGCCGAAAGGCGUAGUCGAUGGGAAACGGGUUAAUAUUCCCGUACUUGGUGUUACUGCGAAGGGGGGACGGAGAAGGCUAUGUUGGCCGGGCGACGGUUGUCCCGGUUUAAGCGUGUAGGUGUGUGUUCCAGGUAAAUCCGGUUCACUUUAACACUGAGGCGUGACGACGAGGCACUACGGUGCUGAAGCAACAAAUGCCCUGCUUCCAGGAAAAGCCUCUAAGCAUCAGGUAACACGAAAUCGUACCCCAAACCGACACAGGUGGUCAGGUAGAGAAUACCAAGGCGCUUGAGAGAACUCGGGUGAAGGAACUAGGCAAAAUGGUGCCGUAACUUCGGGAGAAGGCACGCUGACACGUAGGUGAAGUGAUUUACUCAUGGAGCUGAAGUCAGUCGAAGAUACCAGCUGGCUGCAACUGUUUAUUAAAAACACAGCACUGUGCAAACACGAAAGUGGACGUAUACGGUGUGACGCCUGCCCGGUGCCGGAAGGUUAAUUGAUGGGGUCAGCGUAAGCGAAGCUCCUGAUCGAAGCCCCGGUAAACGGCGGCCGUAACUAUAACGGUCCUAAGGUAGCGAAAUUCCUUGUCGGGUAAGUUCCGACCUGCACGAAUGGCGUAAUGAUGGCCAGGCUGUCUCCACCCGAGACUCAGUGAAAUUGAACUCGCUGUGAAGAUGCAGUGUACCCGCGGCAAGACGGAAAGACCCCGUGAACCUUUACUAUAGCUUGACACUGAACAUUGAGCCUUGAUGUGUAGGAUAGGUGGGAGGCUUUGAAGUGUGGACGCCAGUCUGCAUGGAGCCGACCUUGAAAUACCACCCUUUAAUGUUUGAUGUUCUAACGUGGACCCGUAAUCCGGGUUGCGGACAGUGUCUGGUGGGUAGUUUGACUGGGGCGGUCUCCUCCUAAAGAGUAACGGAGGAGCACGAAGGUUGGCUAAUCCUGGUCGGACAUCAGGAGGUUAGUGCAAUGGCAUAAGCCAGCUUGACUGCGAGCGUGACGGCGCGAGCAGGUGCGAAAGCAGGUCAUAGUGAUCCGGUGGUUCUGAAUGGAAGGGCCAUCGCUCAACGGAUAAAAGGUACUCCGGGGAUAACAGGCUGAUACCGCCCAAGAGUUCAUAUCGACGGCGGUGUUUGGCACCUCGAUGUCGGCUCAUCACAUCCUGGGGCUGAAGUAGGUCCCAAGGGUAUGGCUGUUCGCCAUUUAAAGUGGUACGCGAGCUGGGUUUAGAACGUCGUGAGACAGUUCGGUCCCUAUCUGCCGUGGGCGCUGGAGAACUGAGGGGGGCUGCUCCUAGUACGAGAGGACCGGAGUGGACGCAUCACUGGUGUUCGGGUUGUCAUGCCAAUGGCACUGCCCGGUAGCUAAAUGCGGAAGAGAUAAGUGCUGAAAGCAUCUAAGCACGAAACUUGCCCCGA
This 1662-nucleotide ribosomal RNA is filed under the name Salmonella enterica. Its description in RNAcentral is "partial 23S ribosomal RNA". It matches the Rfam family "Bacterial large subunit ribosomal RNA", at positions 1182 to 2802 of the family's 2925-position model. The record is from RNAcentral. RNAcentral also lists the same sequence under 2 other names. Lineage: Bacteria; Pseudomonadati; Pseudomonadota; Gammaproteobacteria; Enterobacterales; Enterobacteriaceae.